Long non-coding RNA from Cannabis sativa, 2662 nucleotides. RefSeq lists it as uncharacterized. Lineage: Eukaryota; Viridiplantae; Streptophyta; Magnoliopsida; Rosales; Cannabaceae. The transcript is spliced from 2 exons. The record is from RefSeq and is a predicted model, not a curated record.
GGUUGGAACUGGUAAAAGAUUACGAUUGUGAGAUACUGUACCAUCCUGGAAAGGCUAAUGUAGUGGCGGAUGCACUUAGCAGACGCAACUAUGCAAGCUUAUCAAUGUUAAGGGCAUUAAAAGUGCCGUUGCAACAGGAAAUCGAGAGAUCUGGAAUAGAGUUAGUAACAGGAAAGCUAGCUAACCUCACAAUUGAAUCAAAUUUAUUAGAGAAUAUCAAAGAAGAACAAGCCCAAGAUGAGUUUUUAAUCAAGAAGCGGGUCGAACUACAAAAUGGGAAACCCGGGGACUUCUCAGUUAAUGAAGAGGGUAUUCUACUAUACAAGACAAGGGUGUGUGUACCUAAGGAAGCGGAGUUGCAAUCAAAAAUCUUACAAGAGGCGCACACUACACCCUAUUCUUUACACCCAGGAUCAACCAAAAUGUACAAUGAUCUGAAAGGUAGGUAUUGGUGGCGGGAAUGAAAAAUGAUAUAGCAGAAUUUGUAGCAAAAUGUCUUACCGCCAGCAAGUUAAGGCCGAACACCGAGAGACUGCAGGGGCUGUUGCAAUCUCUUGAUAUUCCUGAGUGGAAAUGGGAAGAUAUUGCUAUGGAUUUUGUGACAGGGUUACCGAAGAACAGCAAACAACAGGAUUCCAUCUGGGUGAUUAUCGACAGACUCACUAAAUCAGCACAUUUUCUGCCUGUGCGCACUAAUUACAACGCAGAGCAAUAUGCUGAACUGUAUGUAAAAGAAAUUGUAAGGCUACACGGAGUCCCAAAGACCAUUGUAUCUGAUAGAGGUUCAGUUUUUACUUCUAAGUUUUGGGAAAGUGUGCAAAGUGCUUUGGGCACAAAGCGAAGUUGAGUACAGCAUUCCACCCUCAAACUGAUGGACAAUCAGAACGAACUAUUCAAAUACUAGAAGACAUGCUACGAGCUUGUGCGUUGGAUUUCCCAAGUAACUGGAGCAACUAUUUGCCACUAAUGGAGUUCUCGUACAACAAUAGCUAUCAAUCUACAAUAGGGAUGGCACCCUAUGAAAUGUUGUAUGGGAGGAAGUGUCGAUCACCACUACACUGGGAUGAGGUUGGCGAAAAGCGAUACUUAGGCCCAGACCUAGUAAGAGAGGCCACUGAAGCGGUAGAAAAGAUUCGAAAUAGAAUGGUAACUGCACAAAGCCGCCAGAAAAGUUAUGCCGACGCAAAGAGACGUAAUGUGGAAUUUGCAGUGGGUGAUAAAGUGUUCCUUCGAGUGUCACCUAUGAAAGGGGUUAUGCGUUUUGGAAAGCGAGGAAAGCUAAGUCCAAGAUUUAUAGGUCCUUUUGAGAUAUUGGACAGAGUGGGACAGGUAGCUUAUCGACUGGCAUUGCCACCAGUAUUAGCUGAGACGCAUAAUGUGUUCCAUAUUUCUAUGCUAUGAAAAUACGUGUCGGAUCCAUCACACGUGCUGAACUAUGAAAGAAUGGAGCUAAAGCAGGACUUGAGUUAUGAAGUGCGACCAGUUCGCAUUAUAGAGAGAGGAACGAAGGAGUUAAGGUCCAAAAGUAUUCCUCUAGUAAAAGUUCUGUGGAGCAACCGUUCAGAAAGGGAGGCAACGUGGGAAAUGGAGGGAGACAUGAAAGAACAGUACCCCGAACUUUUUGGUAAGUCUAAUUUCGAGGACGAAAUUUCCUUUAAGGAGGGUAGAAUGUAAUAUCCAGUUUAUUUUUAUUAUUAUUAUUAUUAUCAUUAUUAUUAUUAUUAUUAUUAUUAUUAUUGUUGUUGUUGUUGUUGUUGUUGUUGUUGUUGUUGUUGUUGUUGUUGUUGUUGUUGUGCGUGUGUGAUUAGAAAAAAAUGAUAUAUAUAUAUAUUAAAUAGUGAGAUAAAUAAAUAGUGAAGCAUUAGAUUAGUUAGUUAGUUUAAAAUUUAAAAUUUAAAUUUAAAUCAGCAUAAUUUUAUCUGAUUAGUUAGAUAUUUAUUUUUAAAUUUAAACCUAUUAUACGAUAUGUUAUAUACGUAUAUACUCUAUAACCCUAGCAGCCAGAUAGUAUCGUAUUCCCUUAUUCUCACAAUCUCUCAAUUUCUUUUUUUAUUCUCUCUAUUGAACCAAAUCAAUUGUUUUAAUCUUAAGAGCUUCGGGGUUAGCAAUCAACCGAUCAUCGUUCCGUGUCUUCGAAAUCUUCAGGGCCUAGAAGGUAUCGUAAGAGUUAAUUACAGCGGAGUUGAGGUAAGGAAAAAUAAUGAUACUUUAUACUUGCUUUUUAUAUGGUUUGAGUAUCUAGUAUGACUGCUUGAAUAAAUUGUAUUGAAACUGUGGAAUGUGAUAGUUUCGGUGAAAUAGUGUUUUAUCGAUGAAUUGUAUAUGGUUGUUUAAUCAUGUUCCAGGUACUUGGAAGUGGUUGGAAACCACACAUGUAUGGUGAUGUGGUAAGUGAGGCAGUGUACGUACGGGUGCACUGGUUAUUGGUACUGCGUUCUGGUUAAGAACGUAAGACACUCCAGAUUUGUAUGGAAGCUGGAGUGUGAUUGUGAGUGUGAGUGUGUGGUAUUUCAGUAUUUGUGUGGCUGCCUCUAUUUAUACUUAUGAUUAGGUUGUUGUAUGUUUGAUGUAUAUGUUUGUGCUAUGAUGUGUGAAUGCUGGUACAUAGUAUUGUGUUUUUCCUUACUGGGCUUUGCAGCUCACCCCUUAUUUACCCCCUAUG